RNAcentral lists this ribosomal RNA (496 nucleotides) under uncultured bacterium. RNAcentral's name for it is "partial 16S ribosomal RNA". It matches the Rfam family "Bacterial small subunit ribosomal RNA", at positions 28 to 507 of the family's 1533-position model. The record is from RNAcentral.
GAUGAACGCUGGCGGCGUGCCUAAUACAUGCAAGUCGAGCGAACAGACGAGGAGCUUGCUCCUCUGACGUUAGCGGCGGACGGGUGAGUAACACGUGGAUAACCUACCUAUAAGACUGGGAUAACUUCGGGAAACCGGAGCUAAUACCGGAUAAUAUAUUGAACCGCAUGGUUCAAUAGUGAAAGACGGUUUUGCUGUCACUUAUAGAUGGAUCCGCGCCGCAUUAGCUAGUUGGUAAGGUAACGGCUUACCAAGGCAACGAUGCGUAGCCGACCUGAGAGGGUGAUCGGCCACACUGGAACUGAGACACGGUCCAGACUCCUACGGGAGGCAGCAGUAGGGAAUCUGCCGCAAUGGGCGAAAGCCUGACGGAGCAACGCCGCGUGAGUGAUGAAGGUCUUCGGAUCGUAAAACUCUGUUAUAGGGAAGAACAAAUGUGUAAGUAACUAUGCACGUCUUGACGGUACCUAAUCAGAAAGCCACGGCUAACUACGUG